This 71-nucleotide transfer RNA is filed under the name Marmota monax (woodchuck). RNAcentral's name for it is "tRNA.Pro". It matches the Rfam family "tRNA". From Rfam's summary of the family: Transfer RNA (tRNA) molecules are approximately 80 nucleotides in length. Their secondary structure includes four short double-helical elements and three loops (D, anti-codon, and T loops). The record is from RNAcentral. Lineage: Eukaryota; Metazoa; Chordata; Mammalia; Rodentia; Sciuridae.
GGGGCUGUGGCUCAACGAUAGAGCACUCUUCCGGGAUAUGUGAGGCCCUGGGUUCAAUCCCCAGCACCACA